UGAAGGGACCACCUGGCCAGGGUGCUUCCAGAACAAGCAGCUGCUUCAAGCCAGUGCCCAGCUCUUCCUGCCCCUGGAGCCACUGGAGGGGCCUUCG
This 97-nucleotide long non-coding RNA is filed under the name Sus scrofa (pig). RNAcentral's name for it is "lncRNA (ENSSSCG00065060490.1)". Lineage: Eukaryota; Metazoa; Chordata; Mammalia; Artiodactyla; Suidae. The record is from RNAcentral.